Uranotaenia lowii is the source of this 332-nucleotide long non-coding RNA. RefSeq lists it as uncharacterized. The record is from RefSeq and is a predicted model, not a curated record. NCBI's taxonomy places the organism in Eukaryota, Metazoa, Arthropoda, Insecta, Diptera, Culicidae. The transcript has 3 exons.
UUCAACAGCGAUGAAAGUUCAAAGCUCAACAGAAAACUUUAAGAAGAACAGUAAAACAGCUAGCCAUACACUGGAGACGAUAAAGUGCGGCCAGAGUAGUAGUUAAGCUGGGACAACGGAAGCUGCUGAAAGCCUCCUGGGAAGAACCGUUUGUUCCAAUGGAUUCACCGGCGGAGUUCGACGACAACAGGUCGAGUAAUUAUUUGGAUCAAGCACCAGGUUGCUAGAGCUGAACAUUCAGAAAACCGCUAGAAUCAACAACAUUAUGGAGGACCAACUGAAUUAAACAUAUAUUAGGACCAGCCGCAAGUUGAUAUUAAAAACCAUACAUC